GGCACAGUCGCUCAAGAAUGCUGUCUCGGAAAAGUGCAGAAUUUAGCUUUCAUGUAGUGCUGCUCUCGUUUUCUGCUUGGGGCGUGGUAAUUUUUGCUUAAAAAUGUCUUUUGCAGAGUCUAGAUCUACACUGAGACAGCUGCUGAUGUUAGAGAGCUUGUGUUAGAAUGCUUACUGGAGUUCUCAGGGUGUCCGAUGCACUUAAAGUUGUCUGCUGCAUAUACAGCCUACUAAAAGUACAAAAACAUGUAUUAUUGUGCUGAAAGGUUGACGAGUCUUGCAUUAAUGGUGAUUCUAUUUAUCAUUGCUAAGUUUAGUAGAGUUAGGCUUUGCAGUGUAGAGACCUUUCUCUAUUUUGCUUAUGUGUUAGAAGCAGUCCUGUUUCUGGGGGGGGUCCUUAGAGAAAUUUCAGUAAUUUAGCAUGAGCUGUCAUGCUACACCUAUAAUACUAAGCAAAUAAAGUAUUUCAAGCCCCCACAAUAUGAAUGUACUUUCCAGACUUCCCUUACAUGUUGUUGUCUUUAUGGCCCACUAUACAUGUGUACCUGUGUUGCUUUUCAAGAGCAUGAGCACAGCACUUUUCUCCUAAAGGUUAUCUCCACUAAUGCAGUGUUUCACUUUAAGAGCAGGCAUGCACCCUUGAGAGGACAUUAGUGGCUUACAUACUGAGGGGAGUGAAGUCUGGAAGACUUUAUCAACUAUCCCCAAAAUACUGUGCUGCUGCUAGGACGCCUGUGUUUGUGCAAAUACUGGAUACAAUCAUCUCAUUAAGUUUGAGUAGCAAGUAUUUAACCUCAAAUGAAGCCGCCUGCCUGCAGUGGAACAGAUGUCAGUUCUCUACAAAUCAUGCUUCCCAUGAAGUCAAGAAUGACUUGUGUCUUCUAUUAAGCCCGGCUUUCUGUACUUUAUUCAAGAUUAAACCGUUGCAUGCCUCUAGUUCAUGCUUGUACAUCUGUGCCAAUUCCUGUGAGCUUCUGUGGGCCUUGAGACUAGGACCCACCUUGUUUCAGUGUGACUGACAUGCCAGUUUUGCGUUUCUAAUUCUGCAUUUUUAAUGAUCAGUAUCUUGCAAAUCUCUCUAGUUUCAUACACGUGAGCUAGUACUGAUAUUUUAUCAUAGGAAAUUUCUGUAGAUAAAACGCACUGGUUUUAGUUUUCCUUCUUCAAGGAACAUAAAACUUUGACAAGCAGUAAGGUUCAUCUGGACUAGAAAUUUAUACUAAUAAAUUCUGCUGAUUUGUUUAUGAUUUUGGAUAU
This 1257-nucleotide long non-coding RNA is filed under the name Junco hyemalis (dark-eyed junco). RNAcentral's name for it is "lncRNA (ENSJHYG00000014030.1)". Lineage: Eukaryota; Metazoa; Chordata; Aves; Passeriformes; Passerellidae. The record is from RNAcentral.